Molecule: transfer RNA, 76 nt
Filed under: Opitutia bacterium
Lineage: Bacteria; Pseudomonadati; Verrucomicrobiota; Opitutia
Also listed under: 1 other name
Description: tRNA-Lys
Rfam family: tRNA
About the family: Transfer RNA (tRNA) molecules are approximately 80 nucleotides in length.
Source: RNAcentral
GGGUCGGUAGCUCAAUCGGUAGAGCAGUGGCCUUUUAAGCCAUUGGUUCCGGGUUCAAGUCCCGGCCGGCCUACCA